RNAcentral lists this ribosomal RNA (1318 nucleotides) under Limenitis reducta. Its description in RNAcentral is "16S ribosomal RNA". The record is from RNAcentral. Lineage: Eukaryota; Metazoa; Arthropoda; Insecta; Lepidoptera; Nymphalidae.
GGGGGAAAAUUAAUAAAUUAAAUUUAAUAAAAAAAUUUUUAAUAUUGGGGGGUAUUAAAGUAUUUUUUUAAAAAAAAAUAAUUUAUUUUAUAGUAAAUUAGUAUUGAGAAAGAAUUUUGAAAUAAUUGAAAAUAAAUUGAUAAUAAAGUAAUUUUUAUUUAAUGUAUCUUGUGUAUCAGAGUUUAUUAAAAAAUAUUUUUUGUAAAAAAAAAUCUCGAAUUUAAAAGAGUUAAUUAAUUAUAAAAGUUAAUGUGGAAAAAUUAUUUUAAAUAAUUAAUUUGAAAUGAAAUGUUAAUCGUUUUUAAAUAUAUCUAGUUAUUUUAGAAAAAAAUUUAAUUUUAAAUUUAAAAAAUUUUAUUUUUAAUUAAAAAUAAAAAUAAAAUUUUUAAAAUUAAAUAUAUUAAGGGAUAAGCUUUAAUAUAAAAAUUUAUAAUAAAUUAAAAUUAAAAUAAGAAUUUUAAUAUUUAUAUUGUUUAAAAAUUAUAAUUUAUUAUAAAAAAUUUUAUUUUUAAUAAAAUUUAAUAAAAAAUUUAAUUUUUUAUAAAAUAAUAAUAAAAAUAGUAAAAUAUUAAAAAUAAUGAUAAAAUUAGUAUAUUAUAAUAAAAUAUAAUUUAAUUAUUAAAAAUUAAAUUAAAGGAAUUCGGCAAAAUUUUAUAUUCACUUGUUUAUCAAAAACAUGUCUUUUAGGUAAUAAUUUAAAGUCUAAUCUGCCCACUGAUAAAUAUAUUAAAGGGCUGCAGUAUAUUGACUGUACAAAGGUAGCAUAAUCAUUAGUCUUUUAAUUGAAGACUUGUAUGAAAGAUUUGAUGAAAUAUAAACUGUCUCUAAUUUAAAUAUAAAAUUUAAUUUUUUAGUUAAAAAGCUAAAAUAAAUUUAAAAGACGAGAAGACCCUAUAGAGUUUUAUAUUAAAUUUAUUUAAGAUUAUAAGUAUAAAUAAAAAUUAAAAAUAAAAUUAUUAUUUUAUUGGGGUGAUAGAAAAAUUAAUUUAACUUUUUUUAGUUAAAAACAUAAAUAAAUGAAUAAAUGAUCCAUUUAUUUUAUGAUUAAAAGAAAAAAUUACCUUAGGGAUAACAGCGUAAUAUUUUUUUUUAGUACAAAUAAGAAAAAAAGUUUGCGACCUCGAUGUUGGAUUAAGAUAAAAUUUAAAUGCAAAAGUUUAAAAUUUUGAUCUGUUCGAUCAUUAAAAUCUUACAUGAUCUGAGUUCAAACCGGUGUAAGCCAGGUUGGUUUCUAUCUUUAAUAAAAAAAAAUAUCUUAGUACGAAAGGAUUGGAUAUUUUUAAUAAUUAAAAUUUAGUGAAUAUUAAUAAUUAAAUAU